This is a long non-coding RNA of Malus domestica (apple), 867 nucleotides long. RefSeq lists it as uncharacterized. Lineage: Eukaryota; Viridiplantae; Streptophyta; Magnoliopsida; Rosales; Rosaceae. The record is from RefSeq and is a predicted model, not a curated record.
AGGGCUGGGCAAACGGGUCCUGGACCCGCGGGUAGGGGCGGGUAAUACGGGUACGGGGCGGGUACGGGCCGGUUCUUAGUUUUGUAAAAGUAGAUCGGGGCGGGGCGGGCCGGGUAAUUGAAGUUUUAGGGGUGGGCCGGUUCCAAAAUUAUAGGAUCCGCGGGUACCCGGACCGGCCCGUUUGUGUUAGAUUGGACGGACGAGAUUUAAUAUCAUCUCUCCAUCCAAUCUCAACCGUCAGUUCAAGUUUUCAACUUUCAACCCUAGCCAACCUUCCCCGAGUCCCGAGUUCCAGAAGCAUCCUCAGCCUCAGCAGCCUCAGACCUCAGUCUCUCGGAUUCUCAGACUCUCCCUCGACUCCAUCUCCCUGAGUCCCUCUCCCUAUCCCUCUCCCUCGAAUCCCUCUCCCUAUCCCUCUCCGUUGAUUUUUCUUUUUAAAAUUUAGCUAAUUUUUGUGUUUUGAUUUGAUUCAGGGAGGAAAGCGAGCUUCUUUGUUGUCAGAUCUGACGCCGGGGUUAGCUCGGGUUUGAAUUCGAAGGCUCGCCGGGCUGAUCAACUGAUUACCAAUGUUGUUGCAACCAAAGCUGAUGGCGCUGCAGCUUCGACCGCAUCGAAACCUGGGCAAUCGUGAAAAUUUAAAUUUUUUACAUCAAGGCUUUGCAUGCCAUGUAGUGAACUGUAAUUGCAAGAUUCAGAAUGAAACCAUGAAUUUGUAAAUUUAGAAUUCACGAUAUUGUUUAGUUUGUUUAGCUUUUAAUUUCCUUAAUUAGAUGAAAAAGAUGGGUAGAUACACAUCAUACUGGAUGUUUCUUGUCCGUUGAUAUCCUUUGAAUUGGAAUGUAUUGAAUUUUUUUUUUUUAAAAAAAA